Galdieria sulphuraria is the source of this 160-nucleotide ribosomal RNA. It matches the Rfam family "5.8S ribosomal RNA". From Rfam's summary of the family: 5.8S ribosomal RNA (5.8S rRNA) is a component of the large subunit of the eukaryotic ribosome. It is transcribed by RNA polymerase I as part of the 45S precursor that also contains 18S and 28S rRNA. The record is from Rfam. NCBI's taxonomy places the organism in Eukaryota, Rhodophyta, Bangiophyceae, Galdieriales, Galdieriaceae.
AGCUCUCAACGGUGGAUAUCUCGGCUCUCUUUACGAUGAAGAACGCGGCAAAAAGCGAAAUGUAGUGUGAACUGCAAGUUUUCGUGAAUCAUUGAAUCUUUGAACGCAAGUUGCGCUUUCAAGUUUAUUUUUCCUUGGAAGCACGUCUGUUGGAGUGUCU